UUAUUACAGAAUUUCAACAGCUCAUUUGAAAAUCAGAACUCGAUGAAUUUACGACCGUCUAUCUAUACAAAAUACAAUUCUGGGGAAUAAUUGGCCGUCUCCUUUCAAACUGUUUAAUUACUUGAAAAAUGACAUCUACAUGACAUCUUGCGAAAUUUUAAAAUUAGAUAAUAAAUUUAACAUUUCAAGUAUCGAAAAGAAGAGAGUAGACUAUUUAUUAAACGAAGUAAUUUCAAAAUUGGGUGGAUAGCCUGUUCCUAAAGGAUCUGAGUGGAAAGAUACUGAUUUUAAGUGGGAUGAAUUUAAUCAAAAAGCUUUUAACAAUGGUGUCUCAGUAUCUCCCUUUUUUAUGUAUUUCAAUAUGAAAUACCAAAACUAUUGGUUAAAAUAUAUAAAUCCCCCACAAUUGGAAUUUAAUGUAAUAUUCUACAAUAGCAGUGGACAAAAUUCCUAAUUUUUGUCUCAGGUUAAUAUUUACCGUAACUAUGUAUAGCAGAGGUCGCUAAAUUUUUAGGAGCCAGCGAAAAUCAGGCUGAAGAAUUAAAAGAAUCAGUGGAUUUUGAGAUGGAACUCAUCUUUGCAAGCAUAAAUAUCAAUGUAUCAUUAAAUACUAGCAACCCUAAAAAUGGAAUGUCAGUUAAAGAAAUAACGGAAAAAUGGCCGAGUAUAAAUUGGAAAAAAUUAUUGAAAUAUUUUCCCCAAUGGCAAUUGCCUCUCACAAACGAUUCGAUAAUAUUCAUCAGUAAUCCUGAUUACAUAAAAAAUCUCGAAACACUAGUAAAAAAGACUCUUAAAAGAGUGCUCGCUAAUUUUGCAGUUUGGAAAACUAUUGAAUUAUUAUUAAUUCCAAUUACUAGAUCAAAAACUCUACUCGAUAUUCGAAAUAAUUUUUACAAAUCCUUAAAUGUUUCAAUCACAGAAUCUAAUUCUAAUUGUUAUACACCUCUUAAAACUGCUAUGCCAAAUAUUCUUCUCUCUUUUUACUUACGCCAUUAUCCAUUGGACAAAGAUGCUUUAGAUAAAGCUAAUCAAGUUAUUAUUGAUACAAGAAACAAAUUAGUUGAUACUGUGAAUAAUAGUUCUAACAAACUCGAUAA
Long non-coding RNA from Cotesia glomerata, 1097 nucleotides. RefSeq lists it as uncharacterized. The record is from RefSeq and is a predicted model, not a curated record. Lineage: Eukaryota; Metazoa; Arthropoda; Insecta; Hymenoptera; Braconidae. The transcript is spliced from 3 exons.